CUCCCUAUAUUCCUUCUCUCUCCAUUUCUCAAUUUCAGCCAGUCCCAAAUCCUCAGCUUGGUCAACUAGUUCCACUACUUCCAAAUCAACUAACCUAAAAUGAUCUUUAUACUUACCUAAAAUCGAGUCCCUAAAAUCUUCUGGCAGACCCAAUUCUCUCCUAAUCAACCUCAAAGCAUGAACGUGAAGAAUUCCACUUCUGGAAAUCAACAACAACUUCUUUAUUCUCCUCACAGAU
This 238-nucleotide unclassified non-coding RNA is filed under the name Hevea brasiliensis (rubber tree). Lineage: Eukaryota; Viridiplantae; Streptophyta; Magnoliopsida; Malpighiales; Euphorbiaceae. The record is from RNAcentral.